AGUGGGCCUAAAAGCAGCCAUCUUUAAAAUUGCGUCAAAGCUUAAUUGUUCUCGCGCUUAAUCACCAGAUUUUUAUCUUAAUCCCUAAUCAAUACUGAGUAAUUCUAUAAAACUAUAGAAAAUUUUAUGUUAAAACUAGUAACAAGAAGAGGACUCUUCUCUUAAAUGUAAGUGUACAUCAGAAAGGACAAACCACUGAUACUUAACAUCCAUGAGUCUAAAGUAGUAACCAACCAAGAAAACUCUACUUCCACCUAUGUUAACCUAACACAAGAACAUUCAAAGAAAGAUUAAAAGAAAAAGAAGGAACUCGGCAAAUAUUAACCCCGCCUGUUUACCAAAAACAUCGCCUCUUGAAUUUUAUAAGAGGUCCAGCCUGCCCAGUGACUCUGUUCAACGGCCGCGGUAUCCUAACCGUGCGAAGGUAGCGUAAUCACUUGUUCUUUAAAUGUGGACUAGUAUGAAUGGCACCACGAAGGUUAUACUGUCUCCUUUUUCUAAUCAGUGAAACUAAUCUCCCCGUGAAGAAGCGGGGAUAAAGCUAUAAGACGAGAAGACCCUAUGGAGCUUUAAACAACAUAGCACUUGCCACACACCAUUAAAAUUCCAGAAUCUUAAACUCUCUGAGCAAUAUGACUAUAAGUUUUUGGUUGGGGUGACCGCGGAGCAUAACACAACCUCCAUGUUGAAAGAAUCAUUUUCUAAGCUAAGAACUACAACUCUAAGCAUCAACAUAUUGACAUCCAUUGACCCAAUACACUUGAACAACAAACCAAGUUACCCUAGGGAUAACAGCGCAAUCCACUUCAAGAGCUCCUAUCGACAAGUGGGUUUACGACCUCGAUGUUGGAUCAGGGUUUCCCAGUGGUGCAGCCGCUACUAAAGGUUCGUUUGUUCAACGAUUAAAACCCUACGUGAUCUGAGUUCAGACCGGAG
Molecule: ribosomal RNA, 936 nt
Filed under: Bufotes viridis (European green toad)
Lineage: Eukaryota; Metazoa; Chordata; Amphibia; Anura; Bufonidae
Description: partial 16S ribosomal RNA
Rfam family: Bacterial large subunit ribosomal RNA
Source: RNAcentral